This is a regulatory RNA element of Gasterosteus aculeatus (three-spined stickleback), 54 nucleotides long. It matches the Rfam family "UnaL2 LINE 3' element". From Rfam's summary of the family: The eel long interspersed element (LINE) UnaL2 and its partner short interspersed element (SINE) share a conserved 3' tail containing a stem-loop that is critical for their retrotransposition. Presumably, the first step of retrotransposition is the recognition of their 3' tails by UnaL2-encoded reverse transcriptase. The record is from Rfam. NCBI's taxonomy places the organism in Eukaryota, Metazoa, Chordata, Actinopteri, Perciformes, Gasterosteidae.
CUUGCUGAUGACUGUCAGUCGCUUUGGAUAAAAGCGUCAGCUAAAUGACAUGUA